RNAcentral lists this ribosomal RNA (105 nucleotides) under uncultured bacterium. Its description in RNAcentral is "partial 16S ribosomal RNA". It matches the Rfam family "Bacterial small subunit ribosomal RNA", at positions 1379 to 1482 of the family's 1533-position model. The record is from RNAcentral.
CCUUGUACACACCGCCCGUCACACCAUGGGAGUGGGUUGUACCAGAAGUAGGUAGAAUAACCGCAAGGGGUUCGCUUACCACGGUAUGAUUCAUGACUGGGGGUG